RNAcentral lists this ribosomal RNA (518 nucleotides) under Apodrosus wolcotti. RNAcentral's name for it is "partial 12S ribosomal RNA". The record is from RNAcentral. Lineage: Eukaryota; Metazoa; Arthropoda; Insecta; Coleoptera; Curculionidae.
GUUAUACAUGUAAUAUAAUGAAAAUUUUUCGGUAUUAAUUAGUAAAUAUAAAUUGAAUUUUAAUAAAAUUUUAUUAGGUGAAAUUUUAAAAUUUUUUAAAAUUUUUUUUUAGGUUAUGAAAUUAAUAAACUUUAAGUAUAAACUAGGAUUAGAUACCCUAUUAUUUUUAGUGUAAAUUUAUUAUACCAGAUUAGUAUUAGUUAUAGUCUUGAAAAUUAAAGAAGAUGGCGGUAUUUUAGUCUAUUCAGAGGAACCUGUCCUGUAAUUGAUGAUCCACGAUUUAAUAUACUUAUUUUAGUUUACAUAUCGCCGUAGUUUGAAUAUUUUUAUAAAAUUUUAAUAUUCAAGAUUUUUUAUUUAAAAGUAAAUCAGGUCAAGGUGUAGCUUGUGAAUAAGAAGAGAUGGGUUACAAUAAAUUUAUUUAAAUGGAUUAAGAUUUGGAAAGUUUUAUGAAGGUGGAUUUGAGGGUAAUUUUAUUUUAAAUUAUUAAUAUGAUUUUAGCUCUAAAAUAUGUACAU